This 253-nucleotide ribosomal RNA is filed under the name uncultured bacterium. Its description in RNAcentral is "partial 16S ribosomal RNA". It matches the Rfam family "Bacterial small subunit ribosomal RNA", at positions 524 to 776 of the family's 1533-position model. The record is from RNAcentral.
UACGUAGGGGGCAAGCGUUGUCCGGAAUCAUUGGGCGUAAAGCGCGUGUAGGCGGUUCGGUAAGUCUGCUGUGAAAGUCCAGGGCUCAACCCUGGGAUGCCGGUGGAUACUGUCGGGCUAGAGUGCGGAAGAGGCGAGUGGAAUUCCUGGUGUAGCGGUGAAAUGCGCAGAUAUCAGGAAGAACACCCGUGGCGAAGGCGGCUCUCUGGGACGGUACUGACGCUGAGACGCGAAAGCGUGGGGAGCGAACAGG